Molecule: transfer RNA, 56 nt
Filed under: Triodontophorus brevicauda
Lineage: Eukaryota; Metazoa; Nematoda; Chromadorea; Rhabditida; Strongylidae
Description: tRNA-Ser
Source: RNAcentral
AAACUAUUAAUUAUUUUGUUUUGAAAACAAAAUAAAAGAUUAAUUCUUGUAGUUUU